GCGAAAACUUUACAAUGCUGGCAACAGCGAUAAGGGAACCUCGAGUGCCAGGUUACAAAUCUGGCUGUCGAGAUGCCUAAAAAGCAUUCCAUAGCAAGGGCCGGGCAAGACCGGUGCCAGCCGCCGCGGUAACACCGGCGGCUCGAGCGGUAACCGUUAUUAUUGGGUCUAAAGGGUCUGUAGCCGGCCGGAUAAGUCUCUUGAGAAAUCUGGCAGCUUAACUGUCAGGCUUUCAGGAGAUACUGUCUGGCUCGAGGCCGGGAGAGGUGAGAGGUACUUCAGGGGUAGGGGUGAAAUCUUGUAAUCCUUGAAGGACCACCAGUGGCGAAGGCGUCUCACCAGAACGGACCUGACGGCAAGGGACGAAAGCUAGGGGCACGAACC
RNAcentral lists this ribosomal RNA (384 nucleotides) under uncultured prokaryote. RNAcentral describes it as "bacterial SSU rRNA". It matches the Rfam family "Archaeal small subunit ribosomal RNA", at positions 341 to 725 of the family's 1478-position model. The record is from RNAcentral.